RNAcentral lists this long non-coding RNA (4095 nucleotides) under Podarcis lilfordi (Lilford's wall lizard). Lineage: Eukaryota; Metazoa; Chordata; Lepidosauria; Squamata; Lacertidae. The record is from RNAcentral.
CUUUAGAACUGCUAGGUUGGCAGGAGCUGAGACAGAGCAAUGGGAGCUCACCCCGUCACGGGGAUUCGAACCGCUGACCUUCUGAUCGGCAAGUCCUAGGCUCUGUAGUUUAACCCACAGCGCCACCUGCGUCCCUUACAACAUAUCUUAAGCAGUGUCUAUAUCAAUGCAGUUUUUUUAUUUCUUUAAAAAAGGUUCAGGUUGUGUACUUUUUGACAUUGUGUUUAUUGUUUAUGACUACUUUUGUUAUGUUUGUACUUACGUAUUUUUUUUGUACGUUGUAAGCCGCCUUGAGCACGGUCUUAAAUUUGGCAAGGCGGCAUACAAAUGAAAUUAUUUACUUGUUUAUUGUAUUUGAUAUGCUGUGCCACAUAACUUAGUAGUGACUGCAAAUAACAUCAAUUUAAUAGCAGCUUCUACCCUACCAAUAUGUGCAGCCAGGGGGUCCUGUGGCUGGCAGAAUUAGCCAAUGCCACCUGUCUCUGAUUACUAGGAUGAGUAGCACUGUGGUUGGAUUUAAUGCUUAUUUGUUCUCCUUUGUCCUCUAUUGUUGUUGUUUGGGUGGGGCUGCACCUGUUCAUUCGGGCGAUGUGGCUUUGGUCGGGGCAAGCCUUCUGAGCUGGCAUAUGAAGCCUCUGGGAAUGGGUGAGAAUCCAGUGCCCUCUUUGUAUGGUGCCAGCAUUCAUUUUGGAUGCUGUGCAGGUCUGUGCAGCUUGUGUCCUAAUUUACCGUCCCUCUGCCGGUUAUUUCUCACACUGGGUUUUCCUUUCCUCUUGGAACGAUGCCAUGGCUGCUUGGCGUCAUUAGAUCAGAUGCUUGGCAUGUUUCAGUCCACUUCAGAGUGAAUAGCUGUCAUUUGAAAAAUCUGGUCUGCUCUUCAUCAACAGACACAUCCUAGGCUGAUGGGCCACUUGCACAAUUUUCUCUUCCUUUCCUUUCUCUUCCUUUCUCCUACUUUCACUGUUUUAAUAGUGAAAUACUAAGCACACAAAAAUAUAUAUCAAAUGGGAUUUCCAAAUUGAUUGAUAUGCACUUUAGACAAGAAAGCUUGAUUCAGGCUGGAACUGUUCCAAGGACUGGCAUGGAUUCAGAUUUUUAAGUAGGGAUUAGGGCAGGCCAAUCAGAUGUAGAUCUGGUUUCAAACUGACUAGCUCAGUCAUAUGCCCUGAUGUACAUUAGCAGCAUUAGGCUAUCAGCUCUGGGCUAAGAGGACACUGUCCUCUAGCAGUAGCACUUAAAGCUGGUUCUACCGACCGCUCAGGAGUAGAAACACAGUAUCUUUGACAGCAACAAAUAAAUACCGUAUUUUUCGCUCUAUAAGACGCACAAGACGCACCUAGUUUUUGGAGGAGGAAAACAAGAAAAAAAAUAUUCUGAAUCUCAGAAGCCAGAACAGCAAGAGGGAUCGCUGCGCAGUGAAAGCAGCAAUCCCUCUUGCUGUUCUGGCUUCUGGGAUAGCUGCACAGCCUCCAUUCGCCCCAUAAGACGCACACACAUUUCCCCUUACUUUUUAGGAAGGAAAAAGUGAGUCUUAUAGAGCAAAAAAUACGGUAUUUUGUUCUUUGAAUUCCAAAUGUUGAAGCUGUGUAAUAUUUUUGGCAGGUAUCGAUCACAGAAGCUUACACACCAAAGGAAAGCUGUCCCGUCUCAGCACUAAUUAUAUGGACUACAACCCCUCUAAUUAAUGUAUUUCACAUUUGUAACACCUGAAAUGGGUUAUCUGAACAUUUCCCCAUUGAUCAUUAUUGAUCUUUGCAAAAGUUGGACAACUAGACUGCUGCAUGCUGUUCAUUUGCAAAUUUUUGUAUACUCUUUAGUGAUGCACUACUAGCAGAUAGUACUACUUUGUACUAUUAUUAUGUAUUAUUAUGUACUAUUGUACUAUUAUUUUGCACUUGUUUCUUCAACCAUUUGUAAUAUGUUCAUUUAUGAUUGUAUGAUUCAGCCUUUUUAAUUACUGUUAUUUGUGCAGGCAUUCUCUCUCAUUGGAAACAUCUAGACUGUUUGGACAAAAAACCCUCCCCUGUGCCCCAACUAAAUCGACUCCAGAGGGUACCCCAACCCCAGGAUGCUGCAGGGGAGAGGAAAACAAUUUUGUUCUGUUGGCAUAGAGUGCCUCUCUUCAGCAGUCAUCAUUGGAUCCCACCCAUGACGUUUGGACAACUGUCUGUUUCUUGGAGAAGGGGCAUGUCCAAAGAUGGCUGGGGAUGCUGCUGAGAAUACAAGCAGGGAUCUGAGAUUACAAAGCAAGACUACCAGUGCUUGCAAAAACUUAAAACCAGCAUUAGCUCACUUCCUCUAUGCCAAAGAGCUCUGUACAACACAGAAACCUAUCUGUCAAGCUGGAACCAAGAAUGGCAAUGAUGACUUGCACCACUGCACUCAAACAGCACAAAAACUCCUAUAGGGCUAAAAUGGUUCUUUGGUGCCAUCUUGUGUGUUAAAAUGGAAUGAAUUGCAGCUCUCAGACUUGGUCUUAUUGUUGAGCCUGGGAGAGCAGCUCAGCUCUUCUGUUGCACCCGAACUGUCAGGCUGAAUCCUGGGAAGAGCUUGCUGGAUUAGUUCAGAUAUGUCCAGCCUGAUUCUUUUUAUUGGGUGUUGUCCCAACUUGAGCCACAUUCACACCACACAUUUGAAACACCUAAUGAUGCUGCUUUAACAGGAGAUUGCUUUUAACACCUAAAGUCCUGGAAACAAAAUGUUAUUAAUUAUGCUGUUUCACGGGCUUCUGAAAUAGCUUUCAUUAUUCCUGUAGACGAAAAGAAGGAUGUGUUCCACUCGUGGUGCUGCCUUCACAGUUGCUAGUUGGCUGGCUGUUUGCUGGCACCAUCCCAAACCCAAUAUGCCACUUUUUGCUGGCAUAAUCCUUCUCUUUCAGCUGCUGGUAUCAAGCCGGUACCAGUUGGCCAGACCAGGCAAUAUAUACAAAAUUGUACAAUGAAAGCUUUCCUGUGAAUAGACUGAAAAGGGCACUUACUUUGAAACCUGGGUAAAUAUUUCCCCUAAUUCAAAACAUGGCACCUGUACAAAGCCCUCCUCUUUGCUGCCACCUCCCAAAUCACAUAGGCCUCUGCUGCCUUUGGUUCUGUACUGUAUGUUUCAUGCAAAUUGAGGAUCUGAAGCCUAUACCUUCUUUGAACCUGUAAACUAAUUGCUCAAAAAAUAAUCAGGGUUGAGAGCCAGCUGCAGGCGAGUUCAGAUGACAAAAUAAAUGCAGAUACAAGGUUGAUAGCAAUUAGAUUGCCACCUGCUACGCAGCAUUAAUCUGCACCCCUGAAGUCCAAUUGUUUGCAGAGGUUGGCAAAGGAACAAGGGGGGGGGGAGAAUGCUUCAAGUGCAGGAGGUAUUAGGGUCUUAUCCAAGGGACGGGAAACAGGAUGGAACUCGUGCCAACUUUGUGCUCAGGUCCCUAUGGUAUCCUUUGAAUCCCUUUUGAAUUAUUAUUAAUAUUUUCUAUAGCACUUUUAAUUGCUGAGUGCUUCAGCCCUGCUGCAGGGAGAGUCAAUAUUAUUACCAUUUUAAAGGUGGGUAACUGAGGCUAUAUACCUUUAAAACACAUCAGAAGCACAUUUCUGCUCUCAAGGAAUUCUGGGCGCUGCAGUUUGUUGAGGUUUGCUGGGAAAUGUAACUCUGAGGGGUGAACUACAGUGCCCAGAAUUCUUUGAGGAAAAGCAUGUGCUUUGAAUGUGCUACAAAGUGUGUACAAAGCCUUAGUGACAUUUACUAGAGGUACUAGAGGGACAAAUGCAGGUGGCUUCUAGCGUGAAAAGAGAUAUAUUAUUCAGGGCAGAAAUUGUACGUUUUGGUGGUCUAAUCUGGGUUCAGAUUGGCACGUCAGCAUCCCAGUGGGCCAAGGAAUAAAACACAACCAGUGAUGCAGACUUGGCAAAUUCUAGUUUCCAAAAUCCACAGCUGGCGCCAACCAAAUUGUCCCACUGAGAGGCAGUGUGGCGUAAUGGUUAAAGUGUUGGACUAGCCUAACCCAACUUCAUAGGGCUGUUGUGAGGAUGAAAUGGCAAGGAAAACCAUGUAUACCACCUUGAGAUUAUUGGAAGACAAAGGCAGUAUAUAAAUGUAAUAAAUAAAUAGUGUGGC